This 438-nucleotide ribosomal RNA is filed under the name uncultured bacterium. RNAcentral's name for it is "bacterial SSU rRNA". It matches the Rfam family "Bacterial small subunit ribosomal RNA", at positions 958 to 1397 of the family's 1533-position model. The record is from RNAcentral.
AACGCGAAGAACCUUACCCAGUCUUGACAUGCAGGGGACCGCGACAGAGAUGUCGCUUUCCGCAAGGACCGCUGCACAGGUGCUGCAUGGCUGUCGUCAGCUCGUGCCGUGAGGUGUUUGGUUAAGUCCAGCAACGAGCGCAACCCUUAUCAUUAGUUGCCAACACUUAGGGUGGGAACUCUAAUGAGACUGCCUGGGUUAACCAGGAGGAAGGUGAGGAUGACGUCAAGUCAGCAUGGCCCUUAUGACUGGGGCGACACACGUGCUACAAUGGCCGGCACAGAAGGCAGCAAAGCCGUAAGGUGGAGCAAAUCCCUAAAGCCGGUCUCAGUUCAGAUUGUAGUCUGCAACUCGACUACAUGAAGUUGGAAUUGCUAGUAAUGGCGUGUCAGCCAUAACGCCGUGAAUACGUUCCCGGGCCUUGUACACACCGAUAGC